Molecule: long non-coding RNA, 548 nt
Organism: Chinchilla lanigera (long-tailed chinchilla)
Lineage: Eukaryota; Metazoa; Chordata; Mammalia; Rodentia; Chinchillidae
Exons: 3
Source: RefSeq, a predicted model, not a curated record
CACUUUUGUCCAGGUUUGGUAAGCACAGCUGUGGUCAUCAGCCCGGAAUCACUUCAGCUAAGUUCAUCGCUUGAACUUAUUUAACAUCACCCAGAUAGAAGGCAUGUUCAUUUGCAGCCCUGAGGGUGAAUAUGCUGAGUGGCAAGUGAGAAACAUCCACAUCUGGUUCACCCUUAAAUUGAAGGAGUGAUUCCAUCUUGGACUCUAGCCCAUCCUAGACAGCCCUUCCUGAACAUACUAAAUUACCAAAAAUGUCCACUCAGUUUCGAUCCUGGGAACACAGCUACAAACAAAAGACAGAUCAUCAGGGGCCAAGGAUUUUCUGUACUACACCUCCCCCUCCGCUCUGCUCUCCUCUUCAGCAACCCCUUAGAUUCUCCUCGCUUCCUGUUGUCUGAGUUAGCCAACUGGGAUAGAUUGUGAAUCUCCAAACCAGCCAAUGAGAAAGAGGUCAGCUGAUUUUCUCUCAGCAGAGAAAAAAGGAGCUAUCCUUCUUUGUGCUGUGUCUCCUACCUCAAGCUUGUGCCCUUUUGCAAAUGGAAAAAGCU